Molecule: long non-coding RNA, 2534 nt
Filed under: Rattus norvegicus (Norway rat)
Lineage: Eukaryota; Metazoa; Chordata; Mammalia; Rodentia; Muridae
Description: long non-coding RNA NONRATT016279
Source: RNAcentral
GUGCACCUAUAAAUGAUGGAGCAUUGUAGACUUACACGUCGGUCCAUAGCAGUAACUUUAAGAGGGCAUUGUGCAAUAGUUAGUUGUUUCCUCAUUGGCUACUUUAAGAGCUGCUUUAACCUGUCUGUCUGUCUUUGUAUAUAACUACUUCUAAUAUAAUCACUAGAGUUAUUAUAUUCUGUUAUGUCUGACCGGAAUUAUGUGACGAGAGCUCAUGGCAGUUGUGAGCUGUCUCCUUACAUGUUGGCCCAUGGUAUUUGAAAGACUUGCCUUUGGCUGUUCUUCGGGGUGUCAGUGACGUGAAUGAAGGUCAAUACAGCAUUUCAGUGCCCACAAUACUAGAGUGGCAGUGGAUAAGAAUCUGACUGAUAAAGCCCACACAAGGGAACCAUUUGCAUUUGUCCUUCUGUUUUUGGGGCUUGAUCUGGCCGCAUGUGGAGAAGGAGUGGUAACUGGCUGUGAGCAUGGGGUGAUGGAGGGCCAACUAGCCUACUAGAUUCUCUCCCUGGAUCUGUCACUAAUUUGCUUUGUGACCUCUCUGUGCCUGUUUUCUCGUGCAUGAGAAAUCAAAUCAAAUGGGGAUUCGAUACCUGUAAGUGCUACAAGGCCUUGGACCCACCGGUGCUGUGUGAGUGCGGAGAACCACUCUCAUGUAUUCACUUAGAGUCAUGAGGUAAUCAGUUCUAACCCAAAGUCAUUGGAUUCCCCAACCAAGUCCACAGUGUUCAAGUACCUCAGGGACACUUAAAGAGUUGGAGGUGCAACUGUAUUCCAAAAGGGUGCAGCAGACACAGCCGAGCCCCUCUUCCUGGUGUUCUGUAUAUUUUUGCUCCUUGGUUUUUCUUGAUCAUAGCUGUUUUGUGCUUGGUCUGUGUUGUCUAUGAUGCAGUAAGUACCCUGUACUAGCUUAUAAUAUUCCCAUACCAAAGUCAUGGGGAAACCAACAUUAUUGUGUUUUGGGUUUAUUUAUACUAUAUUCUGCAUACAGUACUUUAAAUGCCAAUUACAGUGCAAUCUUUAUUUAUUGUAAAUUUUUUAAAUGUACUUAUGUACUAAUUUGCCCUCCUAGCAUGUUAUAUUUUGUGUGUUUUAUACUUUUGUAAUUUUAGGUCAGUUUAGUUCCUUGGCAACAUCUGUAGCUAGUAUUAGCUUUCUGACAUUUUCUUGUGUUUUUAAAGAUAAGACCAUCUAACUCAUUAAAUGCCAAAAAAAAAAAAAUCCAUUAUCAGUGAUUGAAAGGUUUACAUGUACCAAGAAACCAUAUUCAUCUCCUAGAAGAGUGCUAAGAUCAAUGCAUUGUUUCGUGCCUAUAUUGAUAUAGCUAUGUACUAGAGUUCUGUAUUUUGUUAUUGACUAUGAUAAUUAGUGUGAUUAGACUUGUACACUGAUGGUAUCAAGGUAAAUAUAUUUUUGCCAAAGCUCUGGCCUUCGGAAGCUCUUCCUUUCAUCCAAGUGUGUCGUUCAACCCACUGUGACGUCAUAUCCACAUUCCCUGAGACGGUCGCAAGUGGGUGAAGGCAAAUUCAGUGGAAUAAUUUUUAAAGCUAUUCACAGGGAGAGUCUUUUUUUAAACAAAAACACUUCAGCACUACUGCUGUAAAGAAUUCCCUGAAUUGAUUGAAUUGUUGUAAAGGAAAUUAUACUUCAGGCCAAAAUCUCUUUAAUCUUCCAGAGAUUUCAAAGCUCUGUUACCAGCAGGAAGCGGAAGCGUGUGACACACGAGCAGACAGCACUUUAUUCUAUUGCUCUCCAUUAUUUGGUAUUCACUAUAGUCUCUUCGGUCGGGAAGUCACUCCUCUACGUGGCACUCUCCUCUAUCACAGAUCUGUAUAUGUGCUAUGGAUAUAUAACUAUAUAUAUAUUGCCAUUACAAAGGAACAAUACAAUAAAGUGUUCUAUUGACCUUCUCUGUGCCCUUUGCCGUACGUAGGAAUGAGUGAAUGGCUUUCUAUUGGCCUUCUCUGUGCCCUUUGCCGUACGUAGGAAUGAGUGAAUGGCUUUCUGAUGCCCUGAUGCUUCUCUGUACAUCAACUGCAUCCCUGACACAAGAAAUUCCAGUCACCUGAAGCAAACUGCCCUCUGUCCUCAAAGAAAAUGUUCACAAAGAAAACUUUUUUAAAAGGCUAUUUUGCAUAUUAUCUGCCUUGUUCUUAUCACACUUGAGAUGUUGGCAUUUUCUGACCCUGUCUCUUUGGCUACAGUCAUUCAGUAUUUGUGUCAAAUUUGACAAGUGCCCUAAUAGAAUGUGUUUGAAUGUUAUCCUUGCACAAUUCUUUAAAUUGAAAGACAAAAUGUUUUACCUCACUGUUGGACAUACAUUCCAAGCUUUUCAACUUUAGGAGAAAAAAAAAUAAUCAUAUGUUUCCUGUCUUGUAAAUUUUAGAUUAUUUCAUAUACAUUGUAUUAAAACUGCCAUAUCAAUUUUAAUGUAUAGAUUUUGCAAAUACUAUGCUAUAUGUAAUACCUAACUGUAUCUGUAGUGUAUAUGUAAUAUAUUUAUGCCCAAUAAAUGUUUUAAUUCUUUCUGACGUAAG